This 1451-nucleotide ribosomal RNA is filed under the name uncultured organism. RNAcentral's name for it is "16S ribosomal RNA". It matches the Rfam family "Bacterial small subunit ribosomal RNA". The record is from RNAcentral.
CUAAGACAUGCAAGUCGAACGGACCAUAUAUUUGGGUAACCGAAAGUAUGGUUAGUGGCGAAAGGGUGAGGAAUAGAUAGGAACGUACCCUGUGCUCUGGGAGAGCGUCUGAAGCUUCGGCUUCUUCCGAAAGGGGCGGUAAUACCAGAUAAUGUCCUUCGGGGACCAAAGAUUUAUCGGCAUCGGAGCGGCCUAUCUCCUAUCAGCUUGUCGGUGAGGUACACGGCUCACCAAGGCAACGACUGGUAGCGGGACUGAGAUGUUGGCCCGCCACAUCGGGACUGAGACACUGUCCGGACCUCCACGGAGGGCUGCAGUAACGGAUAUUGGGCAAUGGGCGAAAGCCUGAACCAGCAAUGCCCGGGUGCAGGAUUAAGCCCUUAGGGGUUUAAACUGCUUUCAGGGGUCAGAAAGCUGGUUUCGCCCAGUGGAUCAACCCCCAGAGGAAAGUCACCGGCUAACUUUCGUGCCAGCAACCAGCGGUAAUACGGAAGGUGGCAAGCGUUUAUUCGGAAUCAUUGGGCUUAAAGGGCACGCAGGCGGAACAGUGUGUGUUGUGUGAAAUCCCCCGGCUUAACCGGGGAAUUGCACAGCAAACUGCUGUUCUUGAGGCAGUAGGGGGUGCAUGGAACUCUUGGUGGANCGGUGGAAUGCGUAGAUAUCAAGAGGAACGCCAGAGGUGAAGACGGUGCACUGGGCCUGUCCUGACGCUGAGGUGCGAAAGCGUGGGGAGCGAACGGGAUUAGAUACCCCGGUAGUCCACGCCGUAAACGAUGUCUACUAGGUCGUGGGUGUUCUGACACAUUCACGGCCGGAGCAAAAGUGUUUAGUAGACCGCCUGGGGAGUACGGCCGCAAGGUUAAAACUCAAAUGAAUUGACGGGGGCUCACACAAGCGGUGGAGCAUGUGGAUUAAUUCGAAGCAACGCGCGGAACCUUGCCUGGGUUUGACAUGCUUGUAUGCCUUCUCUGAAAGGAGUUAGGCUGCCUUCGGGUGAAACUUGCACAGGUGCUGCAUGGCUGUCGUCAGCUCGUGUCGUGAGAUGUCGGGUUAAGUCCUUUAACGAGCGAAACCCUUGCCGUUAGUUGCCAGCGAGUAAUGUCGGGGACUCUAACGGGACUGCCGGUGUUAAACCGGAGGAAGGUGGGGAUGACGUCAAGUCCUCAUGGCCUUUAUGCCCAGGGCUUCACACGUGCUACAAUGGCAAUUACAGAGCGACGCGAUACCGCGAGGUGGAGCAAAUCGCAAAAAAAUUGCCUCAGUUCGGAUUGCAGGCUGGCAAUUCGCCUGCAUGAAGUCGGAAUCGCUAGUAAUCGCGUAUCAGCAAUGACGCGGUGAAUGUGUUCCUGAGCCUUGUACACACCGCCCGUCAAGUGAUGGAAGCCGGGAGUACCCGAAGUCGGGUUGCUAACCUUUGGGAGGCGCCUGCCGACGGUAAGUUCGGUGACUGG